Molecule: ribosomal RNA, 229 nt
Filed under: uncultured bacterium
Lineage: Bacteria
Description: partial 16S ribosomal RNA
Rfam family: Bacterial small subunit ribosomal RNA
Source: RNAcentral
GAUCCUGGCUCAGGAUGAACGCUGGCGGCGUGCCUAACACAUGCAAGUCGAACGAAGAUGCCGGAGUGCUUGCACUUUGGCAGACUGAGUGGCGGACGGGUGAGUAACGCGUGGGUAACCUGCCUUAUACAGGGGGAUAACAGUUGGAAACGACUGCUAAUACCGCAUAAGCGCACGGUAUCGCAUGAUACAGUGUGAAAAACUCCGGUGGUAUAAGAUGGACCCGCGU